AUCAAACCAGUGCUUCACAGGUGUGAGGCAAGCACUCUACUGCUGAGCUACAGCCCAAGCCCCUCCCAGCCCUUUUUAAAGUAUCUUAUUAGAGACAGAGUCUUGCUGAGUUGCUGAGGCUGGGUUUGAACUUGCAAUCCUCCUGCCUCAGCCUCCCGAGUUUCUGGGAUUACAGGCAUGUACCACAAUGCCUGGCUCCCAUUCUUUCUUAAAACCAGUUAAGGCUACUCUGAUCAUAUUUUCACUCUACCACUGUGAGACAAUUACACUUGUCAAGAUUAUCAGUGACCAUAAUAAUUCUAAACUCUCAGUCAAUUCUCAGUUCUUAAUUAUCCAAUUAGUACAUUUGAUCCUUUUCCUUGAAACACUUUCAACCUUGCUUUCCAGGCCCCACACUUUUCUUGGUUCUCCUACUUGACUGAAUGAGUGCUUUUAAAAUUGGAGUCCUUAAACCAAUGACGGGUACAUCAUAUAGGGAUAUAAUAUUGAUACUUUUCAUUCCAUUUUUGUUCUAAAUUAUGAUGUGAUUUUGUUUUUAGUUUUCGGUCAUCAUCCUUCUGUACUACCUUUAUUUUUACAAAUAAACUUGAUACUGUAUCACUUGACAUACUUUCCAGUAACAGAUGUAGUUCUAAAACAGCCUGUUGGAAAGCAGCUGUCAGAGGUACUGGCAGCUAGUAUCUUACAAGCCUUCAGUAACCAUAUACAAAGAUAAGACUUUUAAUUAAUGUUUUCCUCUACCCAAACUUCUUUGUAGAAUUUCUCCUGGACAGGCCUUAUUUUCUGAUUGAAUAGUGUUUUUCUUAAAAAUGUCUUCAUAACUGACAAAGA
Molecule: long non-coding RNA, 831 nt
Filed under: Marmota monax (woodchuck)
Lineage: Eukaryota; Metazoa; Chordata; Mammalia; Rodentia; Sciuridae
Source: RNAcentral